This 775-nucleotide ribosomal RNA is filed under the name uncultured Neocallimastigales. RNAcentral describes it as "partial large subunit ribosomal RNA". It matches the Rfam family "Eukaryotic large subunit ribosomal RNA", at positions 24 to 645 of the family's 3401-position model. The record is from RNAcentral. Lineage: Eukaryota; Fungi; Neocallimastigomycota; Neocallimastigomycetes; Neocallimastigales.
UAUCUCUGUAGAGUCUGCAUAUCAAUAAGCGGAGGAAAAGAAACUAACUAGGAUUCCCUCAGUAACGGCGAGUGAAGCGGGAAGAGCUCAAGUUUGAAAUCUUCAAGGUUCUACCUUGACGAAUUGUAGUUUAAAGAAGUGUUUUCUGUUGGAGUUUUGGUAAAAGUUCUUUGGAAUAGGACAUCAUAGAGGGUGAGAAUCCCGUAUUUGACCAUUAUUUCCAACUUUGUGAUACACUUUCAAAGAGUCGGAUUGUUUGGGAAUGCAGUCCAAAAUGGGUGGUAAAUUUCAUCUAAAGCUAAAUACUGGCGAGAGACCGAUAGCGAACAAGUACCGUGAGGGAAAGAUGAAAAGAACUUUGAAAAGAGAGUUAAACAGUACGUGAAAUUGUCAAAAGGGAAGCGUUUGACACCAGUGUUGUUUUCUCGAAAAUCAAUUAAAAAUGGUUGGAUUUUGUGUUGUUAUGACCUUAUCAGCUUACUGUACUUUUUUCCCUGCUCUUUUUAAUGCACUUUUCGUUUGACAAGUCAACAUCAAUUUCUUUUGUUGUAAAAGAGUCAUUGGAAGGUGGCUUUCACUUCGGUGAAAGUGUUUAUAGCCUUUGGCUUCUGCAAUCGGAGAGAUUGAGGUCUGCAGCGUAGAUCCUUCGGGGUUAGAUACGUAGAUGCUAAGUUAUAGUUUUUUAUAGACAACUUGUUGACUAUGAUUAAUCAUGUAGCUUACUCGUUUGCGCUAUUUUACCUACGCUUAGGAUGUUGAUCUCUCACAGUCGAGC